This 484-nucleotide ribosomal RNA is filed under the name uncultured bacterium. Its description in RNAcentral is "partial 16S ribosomal RNA". It matches the Rfam family "Bacterial small subunit ribosomal RNA", at positions 30 to 507 of the family's 1533-position model. The record is from RNAcentral.
AUUGAACGCUGGCGGCAGGCCUAACACAUGCAAGUCGAGCGGACGAAGGGAGCUUGCUCCUGGAUUCAGCGGCGGACGGGUGAGUAAUGCCCAGGAAUCUGCCUGGCAGUGGGGGAUAACGUCCGGAAACGGGCGCUAAUACCGCAUACGUCCUGAGGGAGAAAGUGGGGGAUCUUCGGACCUCACGCUAUCAGAUGAGCCUAGGUCGGAUUAGCUAGUUGGUGGGGUAAAGGCCUACCAAGGCGACGAUCCGUAACUGGUCUGAGAGGAUGAUCAGUCACACUGGAACUGAGACACGGUCCAGACUCCUACGGGAGGCAGCAGUGGGGAAUAUUGGACAAUGGGCGAAAGCCUGAUCCAGCCAUGCCGCGUGUGUGAAGAAGGUCUUCGGAUUGUAAAGCACUUUAAGUUGGGAGGAAGGGCAGUAAGUUAAUACCUUGCUGUUUUGACGUUACCAACAGAAUAAGCACCGGCUAACUUCGUG